UGAGUACGAGAGUCUACGGACUCGAAGUGGUGUAGCCAAACUGCCAAGAAAAGCUCUAAACACGUUAAUUCAUAAUUACCUGUACCCGAAACCGACACAGGUAGGGAGGUAGAGAAUACCAAGGGGCGCGAGAUAACUCUCUCUAAGGAACUCGGCAAAAUAGCCCCGUAACUUCGGAAGAAGGGGUGCCCACCUAAGACGUGGGUCGCAGUGAAAUGAUCCAAGCGACUGUUUACCAAAAACACAGGUCUCCGCUAACUCGCAAGAGGAAAUAUGGGGGCUGACGCCUGCCCAGUGCCGGAAGGUUAAGGAAGUCGGUCAGCGAAAGUGAAGCUGGCGACCGAAGCCCCGGUGAACGGCGGCCGUAACUAUAACGGUCCUAAGGUAGCGAAAUUCCUUGUCGGGUAAGUUCCGACCCGCACGAAAGGCGUAACGAUUUGGAUGCUGUCUCGGAGAGAGACUCGGCGAAAUAGGAAUGUCUGUGAAGAUACGGACUACUUGCACCCGGACAGAAAGACCCUAUGAAGCUUUACUAUAACUUGGAAUUGGGUUCGGGCUUCUUCUGCGCAGGAUAGGUGGGAGACAAUGAUAUUGUCCUUGUGGGGACAGUGGAGUCAACGGUGAGAUACCACUCUGGAGAGGCUAGGAUUCUAACCCUUACCCAUAAUCUGGGAAGGGAACGGUUUCAGGCGGGUAGUUUGACUGGGGCGGUCGCCUCCUAAAUGGUAGCGGAGGCGCGCAAAGGUUCCCUCAGGCUGGACGGAAAUCAGCCGAAGAGUGUAAAAGCAUAAGGGAGCUUGACUGCAAGACCAACAAGUCGAGCAGCGACGAAAGUCGGCUUUAGUGAUCCGACGGCACAGCGUGGAAUGGCCGUCGCUCAACGGAUAAAAGUUACUCUAAGGAUAACAGGCUGAUCUCCCCCAAGAGUUCACAUCGACGGGGAGGUUUGGCACCUCGAUGUCGGCUCAUCGCAACCUGGUGCGGAAGUACGUGCCAAGGGUUGGGCUGUUCGCCCAUUAAAGCGGUACGUGAGCUGGGUUCAGAACGUCGUGAGACAGUUCGGUCCAUAUCCGGUGCAAGCGCAAGAGCAUUGAGAGGACUCCUCCUUAGUACGAGAGGACCGGGAGGAACGCACCGCUGGUGUACCAGUUACCGUGCCAACGGUAAACGCUGGGUAGCCAUGUGCGGAGAGGAUAACCGCUGAAAGCAUCUAAGUGGGAAGCCCACCUCAAGAUGAGUGCUCUCAUGGAGUUAAUCCAGUAAGGUCACGGGCAGAAUACCCGUUGAUAGGCUUCAGGUGGAAGCGUGGCAACACGUGCUGCCGUGAAGUACUAAUAGACCGAGGGCUUGUCC
Molecule: ribosomal RNA, 1353 nt
Filed under: metagenome
Description: bacterial LSU rRNA
Rfam family: Bacterial large subunit ribosomal RNA
Source: RNAcentral